GAUGAACGCUGGCGGCGUGCCUAAUACAUGCAAGUCGAGCGAACGGACAAGAAGCUUGCUUCUCUGAUGUUAGCGGCGGACGGGUGAGUAACACGUGGAUAACCUACCUAUAAGACUGGGAUAACUUCGGGAAACCGGAGCUAAUACCGGAUGAUAUUUUGAACCGCAUGGUUCAAAAGUGAAAGACGGUCUUGCUGUCACUUAUAGAUGGAUCCGCGCUGCAUUAGCUAGUUGGUAAGGUAACGGCUUACCAAGGCAACGAUGCAUAGCCGACCUGAGAGGGUGAUCGGCCACACUGGAACUGAGACACGGUCCAGACUCCUACGGGAGGCAGCAGUAGGGAAUCUUCCGCAAUGGGCGAAAGCCUGACGGAGCAACGCCGCGUGAGUGAUGAAGGUCUUCGGAUCGUAAAACUCUGUUAUUAGGGAAGAACAUAUGUGUAAGUAACUGUGCACGUCUUGACGGUACCUAAUCAGAAAGCCACGGCUAACUACGUG
RNAcentral lists this ribosomal RNA (497 nucleotides) under uncultured bacterium. RNAcentral's name for it is "partial 16S ribosomal RNA". It matches the Rfam family "Bacterial small subunit ribosomal RNA", at positions 28 to 507 of the family's 1533-position model. The record is from RNAcentral.